UGGGGAAUUUUGGACAAUGGGGGAAACCCUGAUCCAGCCAUCCCGCGUGUGCGAUGAAGGCCUUCGGGUUGUAAAGCACUUUUUGCAGGAAAGAAACGUCAUGGGUUAAUACCCCGUGAAACUGCCGGUACCUGCAGAAUAAGCACCGGCUAACUACGUGCCAGCAGCCGCGGUAAUACGUUGGGUGCAAGCGUUAAUCGGAAUUACUGGGCGUAAAGCGUGCGCAGGCGGUUCGGAAAGAAAGAUGUGAAAUCCCAGAGCUCAACUUUGGAACUGCAUUUUUAACUACCGGGCUAGAGUGUGUCAGAGGGAGGUGGAAUUCCGCGUGUAGCAGUGAAAUGCGUAGGUAUGCGGAGGAACACCGGUGGCGAAGGCAGCCUCCUGGGAUAACACUGACGCUCAUGCACGAAAGCGUGGGGAGCAAACAGG
This 429-nucleotide ribosomal RNA is filed under the name Acidobacteriota bacterium. Its description in RNAcentral is "Acidobacteria bacterium partial 16S ribosomal RNA". It matches the Rfam family "Bacterial small subunit ribosomal RNA", at positions 355 to 776 of the family's 1533-position model. Lineage: Bacteria; Pseudomonadati; Acidobacteriota. The record is from RNAcentral.